ACGAACGCUGGCGGCGUGCUUAACACAUGCACGUCGAACGGAAAGGCCCUGCUUUUGUGGGGUGCUCGAGUGGCGAACGGGUGAGUAACACGUGAGUAACCUGCCCUUGACUUUGGGAUAACUUCAGGAAACUGGGGCUAAUACCGGAUAGGAGCUCCUGCUGCAUGGUGGGGGUUGGAAAGUUUCGGCGGUUGGGGAUGGACUCGCGGCUUAUCAGCUUGUUGGUGGGGUAGUGGCUUACCAAGGCUUUGACGGGUAGCCGGCCUGAGAGGGUGACCGGCCACAUUGGGACUGAGAUACGGCCCAGACUCCUACGGGAGGCAGCAGUGGGGAAUAUUGCACAAUGGGCGGAAGCCUGAUGCAGCAACGCCGCGUGCGGGAUGACGGCCUUCGGGUGGUAAACCGCUUUCGCCUGUGACGAAGCGUGAGUGACGGUAAUGGGUAAAGAAGCACCGGCUAACUACGU
This 466-nucleotide ribosomal RNA is filed under the name uncultured bacterium. RNAcentral describes it as "partial 16S ribosomal RNA". It matches the Rfam family "Bacterial small subunit ribosomal RNA", at positions 29 to 506 of the family's 1533-position model. The record is from RNAcentral.